GAAAGUAAUAAAGAGCGUAUGGGGGAUGCCUAGGCUCUUGGAGGCGAAGAAGGACGUGGUAAGCUGCGAAAAGUCGCGGGGAUUUGCAAACGAGAAUUGAUCCGCGAAUAUCCGAAUGGGACAACCCGGCAGGCAGAAGGCCUGUCACCCAGCAAUGGGGGCUAACCCUCUGAACUGAAACAUCUAAGUAGGAGGAGGAGAAGAAAGAAACAUCGAUUUCCAAAGUAGCGGCGAGCGAAAUGGAAGGAGCCCAAACCGGUAUUGUUACGGCAAUGCCGGGGUUAUAGGACUGCGAGAUUCGAAGGACAAAGAACUGGAAAGAUUUGGAAAAGUCGACCAUAGAGAGUGAAAGUCUCGUACAGGUAAUUGAGUUCUAAGAUAGCAGUAUCCUGAGUAUGGCGGGACACGAGGAAUCCAGUCAGAAUUCGCCGGGACCACCCGGUAAGGCUAAAUACUCCCAAGAGACCGAUAGUGAACCAGUACUGUGAAGGAAAGGUGAAAAGAACCCCGAACAGGGGAGUGAAAAAGAACCUGAAACCAUACGCUUACAACCUGUCGGAGCGGCUUCGUGCCGUGACGGCGUGCCUAUUGAAUAAUGAGCCUACGAGUUACUAAUCACUGGCGAGGUUAAGUGCUAGGAAGCACGGAGCCGAAGCGAAAGCGAGUCUGAACAGGGCGUUUAGUCAGUGGUUGUAGACGCGAAACCUUGCGAUCUACCCUUGAGCAGGAUGAAGGUUGGGUAAAGCCAACUGGAGGUCCGAACGAAUAAGCGUUGAAAAGCUUCUCGAUGACUUGAGGGUAGGAGUGAAAGGCCAAUCAAGCUGGGAAAUAGCUCGUACUCCCCGAAAUGCCUUUAGGGGCAGCGUUGUAAUAAAGAGUCUACUGGAGGUAGAGCUACUGAUUGGAUGCGGGGGCUUCACCGCCUACCAAAUCCCGACAAACUCCGAAUGCCAGUAGUAUGAUUUACAGCAGUGAGCCACCGGGUGCUAAUGUCCGGUGACAAAAGAGGAACAACUCAGACCAGCAACUAAGGUCCCCAAGCGUAUGCUAAGUUGAACUAACGAUGUUUUGUUGCAUAGACAGCUAGGAUGUUAGCUUGGAAGCAGCUAUUCAUUCAAAGAGUGCGUAACAGCUCACUAGUCGAGCGACAAAGCGUGGAUAAUAAACGGGCAUCAAGCAUACCACCGAAGUUCUGGGCGCGAAAGCGCGGUAGGGGAGCAUUCCAUUCAGCGUUGAAGCAGCGUCGUGAGAUGUUGUGGAGCGUAUGGAAAAGCAAAUGUAGGCAUGAGUAACGAUAAUGCGGGAGAGUAACCCGCACACCGCAAGACCAAGGUUUCCUGAUCAACGCUAAUCGGAUCAGGGUUAGUCGGGUCCUAAGGGUAAGCCGAACGGCGAUCUCGAUGGAUAAUCGGUUAAUAUUCCGAUACUGACAUAUACCUCGAUGGAGAGACGAAAUCGCGUAAGUACCGCCUCCUGACGGAAUAGGAGGUUAAAGGGCGUAUGUAUAGGGGCAGAUUAAGAGUCAGUCCUUGCUGAAACCCGACAGUACAGAGAGCCUACGGGCAAUUUGAUAGUGUACCCAAGCAUGUUUCCGAGAAAAUCUUCUAAGUUAUAGUAUAUGUCACCCGUACCGUAAACCGACACAGGUGGUCGAGGAGAGUAUCCUAAGGUGCUCGAGUGAAUCACGGUUAAGGAACUAGGCAAAUUAACCCCGUAACUUCGGGAAAAGGGGUCCCUACGCGAGUAGGGCGCAGCGAAGAGGUCCAGGCGACUGUUUAUCAAAAACACAGGGCUCUGCAAAUUCGAAAGAAGAAGUAUAGGGCCUGACACCUGCCCGGUGCUGGAAGGUUAAGAGGGGAUGUCAUCGCAAGAGAAGCAUUGAAUCGAAGCCCCAGUAAACGGCGGCCGUAACUAUAACGGUCCUAAGGUAGCGAAAUUCCUUGUCGGGUAAGUUCCGACCUGCACGAAUGGUGUAACGAUCUGG
RNAcentral lists this ribosomal RNA (1984 nucleotides) under gut metagenome. Its description in RNAcentral is "bacterial LSU rRNA". It matches the Rfam family "Bacterial large subunit ribosomal RNA", at positions 1 to 2012 of the family's 2925-position model. The record is from RNAcentral.